Molecule: ribosomal RNA, 490 nt
Filed under: uncultured bacterium
Lineage: Bacteria
Description: partial 16S ribosomal RNA
Rfam family: Bacterial small subunit ribosomal RNA
Source: RNAcentral
AUUGAACGCUGGCGGCAGGCCUAACACAUGCAAGUCGAACGGUAACAGGAAGAAGCUUUCUUAUUUGCUGACGAGUGGCGGACGGGUGAGUAAUGUGUGGGAAACUGCCUGAUGGAGGGGGAUAACUACUGGAAACGGUGGCUAAAACCGCAUAACGUUGCAAGACCAAAGUGGGGGACCUUCGGGCCUCUUGCCAUCGGUUGUGCAUAGAUGGGAUUAGUUUGUUGGUGGGGUAACGGCUAACCUAGGCGACGAUCCCUAGCUGGCCUGAGAGGAGGACGAGCCACCAUGGAACGGAGAACGGGCCCAGCUGCCUACGGGGGGAAGCAGUGGGGAUUAUUGGACAAUGGGGGAAGUCUUGAUGAAGCAAUGCCGCGGGGUGGAAGAAGGCUUCCGGGUGUUAAAGUACUUUCAGCGGGGAGGAAGGGAGUAAAGUUAAUACCUUUGCUCAUUGACGUUACCCGCAGAAGAAGCACCGGCUAACUCCGUG